GCAAAGAGCUCGGUGGAGGUAGCCGCGAGCACGAGUUCGACGCCGACGACGCGUCGCGAAGCCAUUCGAGGGUACGGUUGGGAUCGUAGUGCUGCGAGGAAGCUAGGCGAGGGUGCGUUUUCGCCGUUCUCGACGCCGCGUCGAUGUCCGAUUAGCCUUUGAGCGUCGACCGUUGGUAUUUCAGUUCGUACUCGGCGUAGGAGCGUCGAUUUUCGACGGGACUUGGUUCGUUGAAUUCGGGACUUCGAGAGAAAUCCACGAAGCCCUUACUUACUGGAUUUGGUAAAGGUUUGCUAGAGUUUGGCGGGAGCUUGACUUCGGGCCUUGGGAGGUUUUCGGACGUUUCGGCAGGUUGUUCCGCAGCCGAGGGGAGUUCCGUGCUGCCAGGGAUUAGCGAGCGAGGUUUCGGCUGCUGCACCUUCCGCUGAUCAGGAUCGAGGC
Molecule: long non-coding RNA, 441 nt
Organism: Ananas comosus (pineapple)
Lineage: Eukaryota; Viridiplantae; Streptophyta; Magnoliopsida; Poales; Bromeliaceae
Exons: 4
Source: RefSeq, a predicted model, not a curated record